This 468-nucleotide ribosomal RNA is filed under the name uncultured bacterium. RNAcentral's name for it is "partial 16S ribosomal RNA". It matches the Rfam family "Bacterial small subunit ribosomal RNA", at positions 28 to 507 of the family's 1533-position model. The record is from RNAcentral.
GACGAACGCUGGCGGCGUGCUUAACACAUGCAAGUCGAACGGAAAGGCCCUGCUUUUGUGGGGUGCUCGAGUGGCGAACGGGUGAGUAACACGUGAGUAACCUGCCCUUGACUUUGGGAUAACUUCAGGAAACUGGGGCUAAUACCGGAUAGGAGCUCCUGCUGCAUGGUGGGGGUUGGAAAGUUUCGGCGGGUGGGGAUGGACUCGCGGCUUAUCAGCUUGUUGGUGGGGUAGUGGCUUACCAAGGCUUUGACGGGUAGCCGGCCUGUGAGGGUGACCGGCCACAUUGGGACUGAGAUACGGCCCAGACUCCUACGGGAGGCAGCAGUGGGGAAUAUUGCACAAUGGGCGGAAGCCUGAUGCAGAAACGCCGCGUGCGGGAUGACGGCCUUCGGGUUGUAAACCGCUUUCGCCUGUGACGAAGCGUGAGUGACGGUAAUGGGUAAAGAAGCACCGGCUAACUACGUG